UCAUUUCUUUUUCUAACGAAAACCCAUUUGUAUCCAACCGGUCUCACAUCUUUAGGUGUGAGUACAAUAGGUCCGAAUACAUUUCGCUUAUUGAGCGAAUCAAGUUCGACUUGUAUUGCAUCUUUCCAUUUUAUCCAGUCAUGUCUCUUUUGACAUUCAUAUACCGACUUUGGUUCUGGAUCCUCGUUUUCCUCAUCAAUUUCUUUUGCUACGAGGUAUGAGAAAACGUCAUCGACUUCAUCCAUUUUAUUUCGAUCCCAGAUCUUUCCAUUAUGGAU
RNAcentral lists this long non-coding RNA (278 nucleotides) under Arabidopsis lyrata. Its description in RNAcentral is "long non-coding RNA (ALYR_LNC000178)". Lineage: Eukaryota; Viridiplantae; Streptophyta; Magnoliopsida; Brassicales; Brassicaceae. The record is from RNAcentral.